AUAUAUGAGUUCUAAUUACAUAUAUAUAACUGAGGCUAGAAGUGGUUGUAAAAUACAAUGUCAAAAUAUAAAAGAGGGCCACUUCUUUCACUAUGCUAUUGGACUCAUCAGAGUACGGGAACGAUCAUGCACUCAAGUUUUGCGGAUCUAUGGGAUACUCAUAAACUUCAAUGGGUAGUUCAGUUGGCGAUUCCUCAUUUUCUUCCUCAUCUAGGAGGAGGGCAUGGAAAAAGUAAGUUUCAUAUGCUCAGUAAGAAAAAUAAUAUUUAAAUAAUAUCGUAAGGUU
This 286-nucleotide long non-coding RNA is filed under the name Carica papaya (papaya). Its description in RNAcentral is "long non-coding RNA (CPAP_LNC006806)". Lineage: Eukaryota; Viridiplantae; Streptophyta; Magnoliopsida; Brassicales; Caricaceae. The record is from RNAcentral.